CCUACGGGACGCAUCAGUGGGGAAUAUUUCACAAUUUUUUGCCCCCUUAUUCAGCGACGCCGCGUGGGUGAAGGAGUACUUCGGUACGUAAAGCCCUAUCAGCAGGAAAGAAAAUGACGGUACCUGACUAAGAAGCCCCGGCUAACUACGUGCCAGCAGCCGCGGUAAUACGUAGGGGGCAAGCGUUAUCCGGAUUUACUGGGUGUAAAGGGAGCGUAGACGGCAGUGCAAGUCCGGAGUGAAAGCCCGGGGCUCAACCCUGGGACUGCUCUGGAAACUGUAAAGCUGGAGUGCGGGAGGGGCAG
Molecule: ribosomal RNA, 305 nt
Filed under: uncultured bacterium
Lineage: Bacteria
Description: bacterial SSU rRNA
Rfam family: Bacterial small subunit ribosomal RNA
Source: RNAcentral